Molecule: ribosomal RNA, 482 nt
Filed under: uncultured bacterium
Lineage: Bacteria
Description: bacterial SSU rRNA
Rfam family: Bacterial small subunit ribosomal RNA
Source: RNAcentral
AUUGAACGCUGGCGGCAUGCCUUACACAUGCAAGUCGAACGGCAGCGGACCUUCGGGUGCCGGCGAGUGGCGAACGGGUGAGUAAUGCAUCGGAACGUGCCAUUGAGUGGGGGAUAACGUAGCGAAAGUUACGCUAAUACCGCAUAUUCUGUGAGCAGGAAAGCAGGGGACCGCAAGGCCUUGCGCUCUUUGAGCGGCCGAUGUCAGAUUAGCUAGUUGGUGAGGUAAAGGCUUACCAAGGCGACGAUCUGUAGCGGGUCUGAGAGGAUGAUCCGCCACACUGGAACUGAGACACGGUCCAGACUCCUACGGGAGGCAGCAGUGGGGAAUUUUGGACAAUGGGGGCAACCCUGAUCCAGCCAUGCCGCGUGAGUGAAGAAGGCCUUCGGGUUGUAAAGCUCUUUCAGACGGAAAGAAAACGCAUCGGUGAAUACCCGGUGUGGAUGACGGUACCGUAAGAAGAAGCACCGGCUAACUACGUG